AAGUCGUAACAAGGUUUCCGUAGGUGAACCUGCGGAAGGAUCAUUAUCGAGUAAGGGUCUUUCAGGCCCGAUCUCCAACCCCGUGUCUAACUUACCAUGUUGCUUUGGCGGGCCCGCCCUUAGGAGCCGCCGGGGGCUUCACCGCCCCUGGUCCGUGCUCGCCAGUAGCUCUAUUAAAUUCUUUUUUAACUGUGUUUGCCUGAGUAUAAAUUUAAAUUGUUAAAA
Molecule: unclassified non-coding RNA, 225 nt
Filed under: plant metagenome
Description: partial contains small subunit ribosomal RNA and internal transcribed spacer 1
Rfam family: Eukaryotic small subunit ribosomal RNA (bases 1-46)
Source: RNAcentral